RNAcentral lists this ribosomal RNA (2316 nucleotides) under Streptococcus agalactiae MC623. RNAcentral describes it as "bacterial LSU rRNA". It matches the Rfam family "Bacterial large subunit ribosomal RNA", at positions 14 to 2352 of the family's 2925-position model. The record is from RNAcentral. Lineage: Bacteria; Bacillati; Bacillota; Bacilli; Lactobacillales; Streptococcaceae.
AGGGCGCACGGUGGAUGCCUUGGCACUAGAAGCCGAAGAAGGACGUGACUAACGACGAAAUGCUUUGGGGAGCUGUAAGUAAGCGCUGAUCCAGAGAUGUCCGAAUGGGGGAACCCACUAGUUAAUGACUAGUAUCCAUAUCUGUUAAGGAUAUGAGAAGGAAGACGCAGUGAACUGAAACAUCUAAGUAGCUGCAGGAAGAGAAAGCAAAAGCGAUUGCCUUAGUAGCGGCGAGCGAAACGGCAGGAGGGCAAACCGAAGUGUUUACACUUCGGGGUUGUAGGACUGCGAUAUAGGAUUAAUCAUUAUAGAAGAAUUACCUGGGAAGGUAAGCCAAAGAGAGUAACAGCCUCGUAUUUAAAAUGAUAGAUUAACCUUAGCAGUAUCCUGAGUACGGCGAGACACGCGAAAUCUCGUCGGAAUCUGGGAGGACCAUCUCCCAACCCUAAAUACUCUCUAGUGACCGAUAGUGAACCAGUACCGUGAGGGAAAGGUGAAAAGCACCCCGGGAGGGGAGUGAAAUAGAACCUGAAACCGUGUGCCUACAACAAGUUCGAGCCCGUUAAUGGGUGAGAGCGUGCCUUUUGUAGAAUGAACCGGCGAGUUACGAUAUGAUGCGAGGUUAAGUUGAAGAGACGGAGCCGUAGGGAAACCGAGUCUUAAUAGGGCGCCAUAGUAUCAUGUUGUAGACCCGAAACCAUGUGACCUACCCAUGAGCAGGUUGAAGGUGAGGUAAAACUCACUGGAGGACCGAACCAGGGCACGUUGAAAAGUGCUUGGAUGACUUGUGGGUAGCGGAGAAAUUCCAAACGAACUUGGAGAUAGCUGGUUCUCUCCGAAAUAGCUUUAGGGCUAGCGUCGAUGUUAAGUCUCUUGGAGGUAGAGCACUGUUUGGGUGAGGGGUCCAUCCCGGAUUACCAAUCUCAGAUAAACUCCGAAUGCCAACGAGAUAUAAUCGGCAGUCAGACUGCGAGUGCUAAGAUCCGUAGUCGAAAGGGAAACAGCCCAGACCACCAGCUAAGGUCCCAAAAUAUAUGUUAAGUGGAAAAGGAUGUGGGGUUGCACAGACAACUAGGAUGUUAGCUUAGAAGCAGCUAUUCAUUCAAAGAGUGCGUAAUAGCUCACUAGUCGAGUGACCCUGCGCCGAAAAUGUACCGGGGCUAAAACAUAUUACCGAAGCUGUGGAUGACACAAAAGUGUCAUGGUAGGAGAGCGUUCUAUGUGUGAAGAAGGUGUACCGUGAGGAGCGCUGGAACGCAUAGAAGUGAGAAUGCCGGUAUGAGUAGCGCAAGACAGGUGAGAAUCCUGUCCACCGUAAGACUAAGGUUUCCAGGGGAAGGCUCGUCCGCCCUGGGUUAGUCGGGACCUAAGGAGAGACCGAAAGGUGUAUCCGAUGGACAACAGGUUGAUAUUCCUGUACUAGAGUAUAUAGUGAUGGAGGGACGCAGUAGGCUAACUAAACCAGACGAUUGGAAGUGUCUGGUCAAACAGUGAGGUGUGAUAUGAGUCAAAUGCUUAUAUCUUUAACAUUGAGCUGUGACGAGGAGCGAAGUUUAGUAGCGAAGUUAGUGAUGUCACACUGCCAAGAAAAGCUUCUAGCGAUACAUAUACUCUACCCGUACCGCAAACCGACACAGGUAGUCGAGGCGAGUAGCCUCAGGUGAGCGAGAGAACUCUCGUUAAGGAACUCGGCAAAAUGGCCCCGUAACUUCGGGAGAAGGGGCGCUGAUUUUAGAUCAGCCGCAGUGAAUAGGCCCAAGCAACUGUUUAUCAAAAACACAGCUCUCUGCUAAAUCGUAAGAUGAUGUAUAGGGGGUGACGCCUGCCCGGUGCUGGAAGGUUAAGAGGAGUGCUUAGCGUAAGCGAAGGUAUGAAUUGAAGCCCCAGUAAACGGCGGCCGUAACUAUAACGGUCCUAAGGUAGCGAAAUUCCUUGUCGGGUAAGUUCCGACCCGCACGAAAGGCGUAAUGAUUUGGGCACUGUCUCAACGAGAGACUCGGUGAAAUUUUAGUACCUGUGAAGAUGCAGGUUACCCGCGACAGGACGGAAAGACCCCAUGGAGCUUUACUGCAGUUUGAUAUUGAGUAUCUGUACCACAUGUACAGGAUAGGUAGGAGCCUAUGAUAACGGGACGCCAGUUUCGUUUGAGGCGUUGUUGGGAUACUACCCUUGUGUUAUGGCUACUCUAACCCAGAUAGGCAAUCCCUAUCGGAGACAGUGUCUGACGGGCAGUUUGACUGGGGCGGUCGCCUCCUAAAAGGUAACGGAGGCGCCCAAAGGUUCCCUCAGACUGGUUGGAAAUCAGUCGUAGAGUGU